This is a long non-coding RNA of Rhineura floridana, 915 nucleotides long. RefSeq lists it as uncharacterized. The record is from RefSeq and is a predicted model, not a curated record. NCBI's taxonomy places the organism in Eukaryota, Metazoa, Chordata, Lepidosauria, Squamata, Rhineuridae. The transcript is spliced from 3 exons.
GGUCCUUGGGCAGUGGGUCUGCUGCCGGCAGGGUUGCCACCAAAUGGGCAACAGGAAAGGGAAUCAUCCCUUAGGAAGUUCUGCAGGGUUAUGUGACCUUCCAGAGCAGAUGGGGGCCAUAGGGAGCUGCGGGGGUGUGGGAAAUCAUGAAAAUUGCCUCCAUCAUUCUGCCAGUGGAAUUCAUUCAGGAUCUGAAUGAUGGAAGAAGUCCUUCCAUUUGUAGGAGGCAAAGUCUGGAUCCAACCUGGUGAAGCUAACAUGCUAGUCACAUCUUGAGGAGGACAUUUAGUGAUCCCACUGAAGAUAUCAAAAACAGUGAAAGAGAUGUGAAAGAAAAAAUCAUUUUUAAUCCAUUCCAGUUGCUUAUAUUAUGAAUUUCAUUACAGCCAAUUCCAUUAUAAGAAUCCAUUCUCUCAAUAUAGCCAAUAAUUUGAAAGUUCAGCUAGAUUUAAUAAUUCAUUCAGUAAAAUGCAUCAGUUUUCCACAACACAGUAUAACAAUUAUGGGAUGAGAUGCCAUGAGAGACAAAUUUAAACUUGUGUGCCCAAGGAUUUUUCUAAACAUGACAUUUUUCAUAUCUCUGCAUUCUAUAAACUCCCAUACUAAAAGAAUUCACAAAUAACUAAUAGCAGAGACAGUCAAUUUAGAAGCAUAUAUGGAUGCAUCCAGUGCACUAUGUUAGUUCAGGUUCUGCUAAGCUAAACAACAGUUACAACUAUACUAUUGGGUUCAGAAAAGUGCCAUUCUGAUGGUAGCAUCUAUGUAUUUAGAUAUGGGGUGGGUUAAGGUAUUUUCCAGGACAGGAAAUUUUCUUGAAUUCUACUGCUGCUUUUCCAUUUUAGCUGAAGAAUUCUGUUUUAUUGUAAUAUGAUCUGUUUUUAAAUACAUAUUUUGUAUUUUCUUAUAUUUGUUUAA